This is an RNA transcript of Brachypodium distachyon (stiff brome), 1141 nucleotides long. RefSeq lists it as uncharacterized. The transcript has 6 exons. The record is from RefSeq and is a predicted model, not a curated record. NCBI's taxonomy places the organism in Eukaryota, Viridiplantae, Streptophyta, Magnoliopsida, Poales, Poaceae.
CUAAUGGAGAUCAGACCCGCCAGCCAGCGAUAAUGGAGAAUGGAAUCGGAUCUGAUCAGAUUAUUAACCAGACAAAUCAAAAUGAGUGCAUUUCUUUUGUGACUUCUAUAAGUUGGAGGAAUGACAAUACGUUUUACCUAUCUCUAGGCUGAAAGAGAUGGGGAACAGUCAAGUGGACAAGGGGUUGCAAAUACUGGUGGACAUAUUCCAGUCGUUCUUUCUGUUCCUCGAAACUAUCAAGGAAGUUUAACUCUGCAAGAUUCUGGAGACCAUCGGUUCCUGAGAGCUGAGGACCUAAGAGUAUCUGUUAAUGCAAAUGUUUCAUGGAUGAGACGAAAUCAGAUUUUGGCGCUGUUAAAGAACGCCGGAAUAUUCCAGUUGAGCUUCAGUGAGUUACCUGAUUUUACACAGACAUGCCGCAGGCCUGUCAUUACUAUAGCAACAGAAGCACUUGGGGAAGUUGCAAUGACAACCGAGUAUUCUUCAACUCUCAAAAUACUAAAAGAACGUGGCCCUAGAAAGUUAAAGAUUGCUGGAGUUAUCAUAGAUUGUCAUGAAGUGAAAGGGGACCGGUGGGGCCGAAGGCGCUACACUAUCGAUGGCAGGGUCCAUGUGCUGGAGUGGACGGCUAAAAGAAUUCCACAAGAGGGGCAGGGGCAGCGCACGGUUAGAACCAGAAGUACGUCGUACGCAAGGCUAGUGGAAUCGAAUGAGAGUGUGAUUGAAUCCAACGCGAGGCUAAUGGAAUCCAAUGCCAGUGUGGUGGCAUCCAGUGCAAGUCUGGUGGCGUCGAACGAAAGACUGGAGACCGCAAUGACACUCCUUCUGGAAUGCGGCAGGGACCUUAUUGACCGCCUUGUAGGUCUCAACAGAACUGAUUUGUGCAGGAUAAAACGGAACCGGACAGUCCAAAAUAUACACGGUACUAUUUGAGUUGGAUGGGAUGAAACACAAGGAACCUGACAGUCUGAAACCGAGCUGGCAUUUUCUAUACUUUAGUUGUAUAUAUAGGUAGAUGGUACGAGUAUUCUUGGCAGUAGAAUACUAUCAAUCGUUCCUUUUUUUUCUCUCUUUGUAAGUGCCGUUUUUACCUGAAACAACUAGAUAACAUAGUAUGCUAUUUUUGGGCACCGGAGUGCAC